UACGGGGGGAGCAAGCGUUGUUCGGAUUUACUGGGCGUAAAGGGCGCGUAGGCGGCCAGUGCAAGUCAGUUGUGAAAUCUCCGAGCUUAACUCGGAAAGGUCAACUGAUACUGCUCGGCUAGAGUGCAGAAGGGGCAACUGGAAUUCUCGGUGUAGCGGUGAAAUGCGUAGAUAUCGAGAGGAACACCUGCGGCGAAGGCGGGUUGCUGGGCUGACACUGACGCUGAUGCGCGAAAGCCAGGGGAGCGAACGGG
This 254-nucleotide ribosomal RNA is filed under the name uncultured bacterium. RNAcentral's name for it is "partial 16S ribosomal RNA". It matches the Rfam family "Bacterial small subunit ribosomal RNA", at positions 524 to 776 of the family's 1533-position model. The record is from RNAcentral.